This 76-nucleotide transfer RNA is filed under the name Paenibacillus whitsoniae. It matches the Rfam family "tRNA". Rfam says of the family: Transfer RNA (tRNA) molecules are approximately 80 nucleotides in length. Their secondary structure includes four short double-helical elements and three loops (D, anti-codon, and T loops). The record is from Rfam by way of RNAcentral. Lineage: Bacteria; Bacillati; Bacillota; Bacilli; Caryophanales; Paenibacillaceae.
AGAGCAAUAGCUUAAGUAGGUUAGAGCGUUCUGAAUUGAUUUCAGAAAGGUGCAGGUUCGAAUCCUGCUUGUUUUA